RNAcentral lists this ribosomal RNA (776 nucleotides) under uncultured Neocallimastigales. Its description in RNAcentral is "partial large subunit ribosomal RNA". It matches the Rfam family "Eukaryotic large subunit ribosomal RNA", at positions 23 to 644 of the family's 3401-position model. The record is from RNAcentral. Lineage: Eukaryota; Fungi; Neocallimastigomycota; Neocallimastigomycetes; Neocallimastigales.
AUAGAGACUCAGAGCUGCAUAUCAAUAAGCGGAGGAAAAGAAACUAACAAGGAUUCCCUUAGUAACGGCGAGUGAAGCGGGAAGAGCUCAAAUUUGAAAUCUUCAAGGUUUUACCUUGACGAAUUGUAGUUUAAAGAAGUGUUUUCUGUUGAAGUUUUGGUAAAAGUUCUUUGGAAUAGGACAUCAUAGAGGGUGAGAAUCCCGUAUUUGACCAUUAUUUUCAGCUGUGUGAUACACUUUCAAAGAGUCGGAUUGUUUGGGAAUGCAGUCCAAAAUGGGUGGUAAAUUUCAUCUAAAGCUAAAUAUUGGCGAGAGACCGAUAGCGAACAAGUACCGUGAGGGAAAGAUGAAAAGAACUUUGAAAAGAGAGUUAAACAGUACGUGAAAUUGUCAAAGGGAAGCGUUUGACACCAGUGUUGUUUUUCCGAAAAUCAAUUAAGAAUGUCUUAUUUUUGAGAAGUUAUGACUUCAUCGGCUUGCUCCUUUCUUUAUGGAACUUUCUUAAUGCACUUUUCGGUUAACAAGUCAACAUCAAUUUCUUUUGUUGUAAAAGGGUAUGAGGAAGGUGGCUUUCUUUUCGGAGAAAGUGUUUAUAGCCUUGUGACUUCUGCAAUCGGAGAGAUUGAGGUCUGCAGCGUAGAUCCUUCGGGGUUAGAUACAGUUUGUGCUAAGUUAUAGCCUUUCAUAGACAACUUGUUGACUAUGAUUCAGUCAUGUAGCUUACUCGCUUAUGUCAUUUUACCUACGCUUAGGAUGUUGAAGAUAUGCGCGACACG